This 572-nucleotide small RNA is filed under the name Pan troglodytes (chimpanzee). RNAcentral's name for it is "processed transcript". Lineage: Eukaryota; Metazoa; Chordata; Mammalia; Primates; Hominidae. The record is from RNAcentral.
UAUUUUGCUCUGUUGAAAAAUUUAAAGUGGAUUCUUCAGGCUCCAGCCUGAUUUCCUUAUUGUUCCUCUCCCUAACUCAUAUACUUGAUUUUAACCUCCUCCAACCUAUUGUCAGCAUCUCCGCCCUUCUUGCAACCCUCGAGAGACUGCUAAGCCCUCCAACUUUUUUUAACCCGUCUCAGAGAAGCUGUGUCUGACCUCUCCUGUAUCCCUGUGCAUUCCUGAGGGCUUGGAAGACCUUGGGCACCUUCAUACGCUCUUGUGGUGGAUGUGGGUGUGGUGACAAGGCUGGACCACCGGAGACAGACAGAGAAUGGUCUUGGCGUAUGGGACCUAAUGCUAGCACAGGCCGUUGAUGCUCACUGCCAUCAGCUGCAUCCUCCCUAUGGCACUGGUAUCUCAUUCAGUUGCUAAACUUAUAUUAGUUAAUUUCCACUGGCAAGUUUCAGAGAUAUUGGACAGAUACAAGUCCAAUUCUGCUCAACUGCUUGUUGAGGCUCGAGUUCAGCCUAAUCCAUCAAAACAUGUUCCCACAUCCCAUCCCCCUCACCACUGUGCAGUGUGUAUGCAGU